UACAGAGGGGGCAAGCGUUAUUCGGAAUUAUUGGGCGUAAAGGGCGCGUAGGCGGCCUGGCAAGUGGAAGGUGAAAUCCCUCGGCUCAACUGAGGAACUGCCCUCCAAACUGCUUUGCUUGAGUCCGGGAGAGGUGAGUGGAAUUCCCAGUGUAGCGGUGAAAUGCGUAGAUAUUGGGAGGAACACCAGUGGCGAAGGCGGCUCACUGGACCGGAACUGACGCUGAGGCGCGAAAGCGUGGGGAGCAAACGGG
This 253-nucleotide ribosomal RNA is filed under the name uncultured bacterium. RNAcentral describes it as "partial 16S ribosomal RNA". It matches the Rfam family "Bacterial small subunit ribosomal RNA", at positions 524 to 776 of the family's 1533-position model. The record is from RNAcentral.